UUCUUCACUAGAAGAAACAGAUCCUGCUGAAUGAAAGCACAUAAUGGAGCCCUAGGGGUGAUCUGAGAAACAACUAUAAUUAUCUCUUCUCUGCUUACUGCCAUACUUAGGAAGGAGUCUUUGGACUAGGCAGAAAGUGAUCAAUUUCCUCUCAUAUUACCCUCAACCUGCGGCCUAUUUGUACUCCUGAUUGGAUAAAAGGGUUAAGAAGAACAAAAUGGUUGGAGAGAUUUUUGAAUUUUUAUGAUAAUUAUUUGGUGUCCCAGGAUCUACUGAAUGUCUCAAGAGAGGAACUUUUUUCCACUUCACAAAUUCUAAUUUUUGACUUGAUAAAGAAUGAUGAAUAUUUGUCACACAGAUAUUUAAAUGGAAUCAGGGCUGUAUAUAACCAUGACAUAAUACUUUGUCAAAAAGUGAAAAGUUAAUCUGGUUGGUCAUCAGUUUCAGAAGGGAGGAUUUUAAAUGGCUUAAAAAUAAUGUAGUCACAUGACUUAAAUUCAAAAGAAGGUAUUUUUACCUGGCAUAUGGAGAAGAUGAUGACAAUAAUGUGGAACUUGAUUAGACAUCAACAGAGACUCAAUGCCUCCUGGAAAACACCUGAGAAAUGAUUGAAGCUCGCUCUGGUCUUGCCUGGAAUCAUGCAUAACAUUUGUUGCUGCCUGCAUGUGGAUUCAUUUUAGCAGUUUAUCAAUUUGGACAGGGAAUUUUGAAUAAAAAAUUUUGGCAGUCAUUAUAGUGACUCUUCUGAGACUGAAAAUUCAGGUAACAAGGAAAAUCAGUGACUCUUUCUCUCUGCUUUCUUCAAAACACAAAUAAUCCAAUGAUGUAUAGGCUGCAUUGCCCUUUGAUUUGUUACCUUAGAGAUCAUUACAUGUUAGUACAUAAAGAAACUUCCCAAUCUUCUUUUAUAGCAUCCAGGUACUCCAAUGUGUA
This 933-nucleotide long non-coding RNA is filed under the name Homo sapiens (human). RNAcentral describes it as "HSALNT0347324". Lineage: Eukaryota; Metazoa; Chordata; Mammalia; Primates; Hominidae. The record is from RNAcentral.